Molecule: unclassified non-coding RNA, 22 nt
Filed under: Mus musculus (house mouse)
Lineage: Eukaryota; Metazoa; Chordata; Mammalia; Rodentia; Muridae
Description: oocyte_clustered_small_RNA7540
Source: RNAcentral
CAGGACUGGAACUCCAACAUGU